Molecule: unclassified non-coding RNA, 275 nt
Filed under: Hevea brasiliensis (rubber tree)
Lineage: Eukaryota; Viridiplantae; Streptophyta; Magnoliopsida; Malpighiales; Euphorbiaceae
Source: RNAcentral
GAAGAAGAAGAAGAAGAAGUAGAAGUCUGUGCAGCUUGUGAUGCUAAAGGAACAUCAGCUCUAGAACAUUUGGUGAUGGUCAGUGGAAAUCUAACACCAGAAGGAUGACAUCCAGAAACCCUUUUGGAAAUUGGUGACAAAUAGGUGGUUCUGAUAAAGAAAGGAGAGAUUUUGACGAGAGAAGUGGUGGAAAGAUUCAUGGUGGAUGAAAAAUGAGAAGUUUUGGCAUGAAUGAAUGUUGCAGAGACCUUAGUGAGGACUGUAUUAGAUUUUGU